CCGCUGCACUAUCAUCUUAGGUUUUUUUUUAGAGAUAAUGGCAUGCUAUUCGCUUCGUUUAUUUUUUUUAUAAAUAAAUUUAGCUGAAAAAGUAAAUCGUUUAUGAUUCAAACUUGAGAUCUUGGGUACCAACUACCAAACCCUUUGCCACUUGUACGUGCCAGGGAUGGUCGGUCUCUUAGGUUAUUAAAGAUCGAGAUAAAGAAAGAAGACAAUACUAGAUUUUAUUUUGAAUUGAUUUGAGUUAUAAUAAAUUAAUCAACAAUUAGGACAUGUUUGGUUUAUGAUUGGAAUAGAAAUGAAAAAUAAAAUUGGAUUGCUUUUGAAUGGGAAAUAAAAUGACGAGUCAUCCAAAAAUGUUUGAUUAAUUAUUGGAACGAAAAUCGGAAUGAAAAUUUAAAACUUUUUAGAGAGGGUUUUGAUUAAGAAAAAGAAAAGUGAUAAAGGGAGAGAAGGAAGGUGUUGGUGAAAAAGAAUUUUGAAUAGUUUACUUUGAAAUAGGUCAAUUCGAAAUUCAAAGCCGGAUUAGGCCAUAAAUGGAUUUGGUCAUUCUCAUUCUAAAGUGGAAUGAGAACCGGAAUCCGAUUUUUAUAAAACUAACGACAGCUAUCGGAAUUAAUGAAUUCCAUUUUGAUUCCAUAACCUAAUUCAAAUAGUCUAAAAUAGAUAAACCAAACAUGCCCUUAAAGGAUUGAACCCUUGAACUA
Molecule: long non-coding RNA, 707 nt
Filed under: Ananas comosus (pineapple)
Lineage: Eukaryota; Viridiplantae; Streptophyta; Magnoliopsida; Poales; Bromeliaceae
Description: long non-coding RNA (ACOM_LNC016538)
Source: RNAcentral